RNAcentral lists this ribosomal RNA (215 nucleotides) under Bacillus subtilis J22. The record is from RNAcentral. Lineage: Bacteria; Bacillati; Bacillota; Bacilli; Caryophanales; Bacillaceae.
GACACAUGGAGCUGACAGAUACUAAUCGAUCGAGGACUUAACCAUAUUUUGAAUGAUGUCACACCUGUUAUCUAGUUUUGAGAGAACACUCUCAAUUUGUUUGGUGGCGAUAGCGAAGAGGUCACACCCGUUCCCAUACCGAACACGGAAGUUAAGCUCUUCAGCGCCGAUGGUAGUCGGGGGKUUCCCCCUGUGAGAGUAGGACGCCGCCAAGC